UACGUAGGGGGCAAGCGUUGUCCGGAUUUAUUGGGCGUAAAGAGCGUGUAGGCGGCCAAGCAGGUCAGCUGUGAAAACUCGAGGCUCAACCUCGAGACGUCGGUUGAAACCGCUUGGCUAGAGUCCGGAAGAGGAGAGUGGAAUUCCCGGUGUAGCGGCGAAAUGCGCAGAUAUCGGGAAGAACACCCGUGGCGAAGGCGGCUCUCUGGGACGGUACUGACGCUGAGACGCGAAAGCGUGGGGAGCGAACAGG
RNAcentral lists this ribosomal RNA (253 nucleotides) under uncultured bacterium. RNAcentral's name for it is "partial 16S ribosomal RNA". It matches the Rfam family "Bacterial small subunit ribosomal RNA", at positions 524 to 776 of the family's 1533-position model. The record is from RNAcentral.